AAACCAUGAUGGGGCACCGAGUGGUGUAACUUUAAAACCUUUCCAAAGCUUCAUAGAAAGUUUCAUUGUUUUUUGUGUGAAGCCUGAGAUCUCGUUCCUCAAUCU
Arabidopsis thaliana (thale cress) is the source of this 105-nucleotide small nucleolar RNA. It matches the Rfam family "Plant small nucleolar RNA R71". Rfam says of the family: R71 is a member of the C/D box family of snoRNAs containing the C (UGAUGA) and D (CUGA) box motifs. Multiple nearly identical copies of this snoRNA have been identified in Arabidopsis, and it is thought to function as a 2'-O-ribose methylation guide for 18S ribosomal RNA. NCBI's taxonomy places the organism in Eukaryota, Viridiplantae, Streptophyta, Magnoliopsida, Brassicales, Brassicaceae. The record is from Rfam.